This 253-nucleotide ribosomal RNA is filed under the name uncultured bacterium. RNAcentral's name for it is "partial 16S ribosomal RNA". It matches the Rfam family "Bacterial small subunit ribosomal RNA", at positions 524 to 776 of the family's 1533-position model. The record is from RNAcentral.
UACGAAGGGGGCUAGCGUUGCUCGGAAUCACUGGGCGUAAAGGGUGCGUAGGCGGGUCUUUAAGUCAGGGGUGAAAUCCUGGAGCUCAACUCCAGAACUGCCUUUGAUACUGAAGAUCUUGAGUCCGGGAGAGGUGAGUGGAACUGCGAGUGUAGAGGUGAAAUUCGUAGAUAUUCGGAAGAACACCAGUGGCGAAGGCGGCUCACUGGACUGGUAUUGACGCUGAGGUGCGAAAGCGUGGGGAGCAAACAGG